UUUUGGUGUAUGUUUGUUUUAGGCAGCAUUAAAAGUGGUUCAAGCCCGUCAUGAAAGAUCUGAGAAAACCUCAUCUGAACAGGAUGGAAGUGAAAGGACUCCAUCCAGCACAGAGUCAAACAAACCAGAAGAAAAUGAGGAACAGGUGGAUCCACUGGUGCUAAAUAUCAGACCCAAAAGGAAACUUUUUUCCAAGCAAAUUCAUGACGUAUGGAAACCUGAAACUGCCAAGAAAGAGCGAGCCACACGCAAGAGAACCUCUA
Molecule: long non-coding RNA, 263 nt
Organism: Sinocyclocheilus grahami
Lineage: Eukaryota; Metazoa; Chordata; Actinopteri; Cypriniformes; Cyprinidae
Exons: 3
Source: RefSeq, a predicted model, not a curated record